GAGUUUGAUCAUGGCUCAGGAUGAACGCUGGCGGCGUGCCUAACACAUGCAAGUCGAACGAAGCAAUCGGGAUGAAGUUUUCGGAUGGAUUCCUGGUUGACUGAGUGGCGGACGGGUGAGUAACGCGUGGGAUAACCUGCCUCACACUGGGGGAGUAACAGUUAGAAAUAGGCUGCUAAUACCGCAUAAGCGCACAGUACCGCAU
RNAcentral lists this ribosomal RNA (205 nucleotides) under uncultured microorganism. RNAcentral's name for it is "partial 16S ribosomal RNA". It matches the Rfam family "Bacterial small subunit ribosomal RNA", at positions 9 to 191 of the family's 1533-position model. The record is from RNAcentral.